This 845-nucleotide long non-coding RNA is filed under the name Sus scrofa (pig). RNAcentral describes it as "lncRNA (ENSSSCG00070004660.1)". The record is from RNAcentral. Lineage: Eukaryota; Metazoa; Chordata; Mammalia; Artiodactyla; Suidae.
AUGCAGCUGGAAUUUCAGGUGUGUCACCCUGGAGCUGAGGCCUCCAGAUGGACUCGUAGAAGGGAGAUGUGUAAGGCUCCAUCCCUCAGCAGCCCACGAUCUCUGAAGGUUUGCCACUGUGGCCAAUGUUUUAUGGAAGCUUCUGAGGCCGUAGAGCAGAGGGAAGUUCUGAGCACACGGAGGACAAGCCAGGGUGGUGCUGUGUGGCCGCAAACAACCCUAAGUAGGGGAUACGUGUGGGGGACAGGCUCUAACACCUUGAUUCCUUAUGUCUGUGUCUCUGCAGUAUGUUUCAUGGAGAGUCUGAGUGACAGCAACCAUGAUGAAAGUGAUACAGACUCAGUGGUGGAGAGCCUGAGCAGCCGCCAGGAUGAGGAGGCUGCAGCAACCCUCGAUGAUGUUGUGGAGGCCGGCGGGAGUGAGAAGACGGAGGAAGAGGCCCUGGCUGGGGCAAAUGAGGAGGAGGUGGGGCCGGGAACUGAGAAGGUGCAGGAGGAGGCUGCCUGCAUUGACGAGGCAGAGGAGGAGGCAGGCCCAUCCCUUGAAAAUGACGAGGAGUCCCCAGCCAGCGACCUGGUUGAGCAGGAAGACCAGCUUGCCCCAAGGUAAGCUCACCUUUCUUGAUCGGAGAUUUAAAAAGGUGCCUCCUUUCUUCUUGGAUGUGCCUACUUCAGAAAAGGAAAUCUGAGCAAGUCCAUUAUAGAGGAUAUAUGCACAUUCCUCUGUGGAGGAAUGUUGAGUCAAAGUUUGGUACCAACCAAUAACUCCUUCCAAGGGGCAUUGGCAAAAGGGACCACAUCAGUUCCCAAGUGUACAUAGGGAGCAUUUGUCUUUGAAGAAGCCUG